AGCUUUAAGUAAUUCAUUUAAGGUACACCCUGCUCAAGAGAAAUUAAAUAGCCGCAGUACCCUGACWGUGCWAAGGUAGCGUAAUCAGUUGGCUUAUAAUUGAAGUCUAGUAUGAAUGGGAACUCGGGGAUAUUCUGUCUUUUAUUUACGAUUUGAAAUUACUAAUUAAGUGAAAAUUCUUAACCUUUCAGAAAAAAGACGAGAAGACCCUAGAAAUUUUUUAUUAUAUAUUUUGUUGGGGCGACWAGGUAACAUAAAACUUACCUAUGCAAUAGGAAAUUUUUUAGUUGGGUAAAUAAAUUACUCUAGGGAUAACAGCAUAAUAUUUUAAAGUUUGUGACCUCGAUGUUGGACUAGGAAAUACCCUACUUAAAAGGUAGUUUAUAUAGUUCUGUUCGAACUUUUUCUCCUACAUG
RNAcentral lists this ribosomal RNA (416 nucleotides) under Monacha cantiana. RNAcentral's name for it is "partial 16S ribosomal RNA". It matches the Rfam family "Archaeal large subunit ribosomal RNA", at positions 1955 to 2673 of the family's 2987-position model. Lineage: Eukaryota; Metazoa; Mollusca; Gastropoda; Stylommatophora; Hygromiidae. The record is from RNAcentral.